Molecule: ribosomal RNA, 444 nt
Filed under: uncultured bacterium
Lineage: Bacteria
Description: partial 16S ribosomal RNA
Rfam family: Bacterial small subunit ribosomal RNA
Source: RNAcentral
CUACGUGGGGCUGCAGUGGGGAAUAUUGCUCAAUGGGCGCAAGCCUGAUGCAGCAACGCCGCGUGAGGGAUGAAGGCCUUCGGGUUGUAAACCUCUUUUAGCAGGGAAGAAGCGAAAGUGACGGUACCUGCAGAAAAAGCACCGGCUAACUACGUGCCAGCAGCCGCGGUAAUACGUAGGGUGCAAGCGUUGUCCGGAAUUAUUGGGCGUAAAGAGCUCGUAGGCGGUUUGUCACGUCUGCUGUGAAAAUCCAAGGCUCAACCUUGGACUUGCAGUGGGUACGGGCAGGCUAGAGUGCGGUAGGGGAGAUGGGAAUUCCUGGUGUAGCGGUGGAAUGCGCAGAUAUCAGGAGGAACACCAAUGGCGAAGGCACAUCUCUGGGCCGUAACUGACGCUGAGGAGCGAAAGCGUGGGGAGCGAACAGGAUUAGAUACCCUUGUAGUC